GAAAGUUCAUUUAUUUCAGUAAUUCAACUCAAAUUGUUAAACUUGUGUAUUAAAUAAAUUAAAUGCACAUAGAUUAAAGGAGUUUAAGCCUUUGGUUCUUUUAAUUGUGAUGAUUUUGGCUCACAUUUAACAAGAACCCACAAAUCUCAAUAAAUUAGAAUAUGGUGACAUGCCAAUCAGCUAAUCAACUAAAACACCUGCAAAGGUUUCCUGAGCCUUCAGAAUGGAUUCACUUCAAUACUGCGGUUCGGCUCCGACUGAGAACAGGAGAUAAAGAGCUGCUAGAGGCCUCCGUGUGUUUGAGCCUGUCACUCCACUGUUCAGAGCCAACGUCCAACUCACAGAAUGCCUAACACAGCCACAUGAAUUUGCUUUUUAUGUUUGUCAUUAAAAAACAUAAAUCUAGUGUGAUGGGACUUAAAUAAUACGGCACAUCUUCAGAAUAGGGGUAAAAAAUGUAUAGUUUUUGAUUAACAGGUGAAUACGGUUAGGGUUACACCAGAAAACUAUAUAUUUUUUGACAGGUUUGCAGUGAAUGAAAUAAUAUUACAAGUUGUCCUCAAAUGGCACCGAUUCCUCAAAAUGGCAGAUAAACUGAUGUUUCUUUCUUUAGAUUGCCGUUCACACGCAGGUGUUGGAAUUCCUCCUGACGCAAGGGAGUUACAGCGCAAUGGACUCAAGGACAAACAUGGCCAGCGCUGCUUUGAUUCGGUUCAUCUGAGGAUUUACACAAGCUCCAGUCUGGACCCAGAACACCUGAGAAGAGAUGAUGCCAACCCUGAAACAACAUACAUAACUGCCAAAUUCUGCUAUAAGUUUUAUCGCAACAUAUAAUAAUUGCUGUUAAUAGUGUUUACUGUCUGUUUGAUUUGGGCAUUAACUUGAAGCAUUAACCCAAUCUCUGUAUCCAAAAACCUAACCCUACCCAUAAUUUAUUCCUAAAAUCUGAGGGAAAUGAUAGCUGAAUUACAAAGGCGUAGAAGCACCUAACUCAGGUUGUAAGCCUAAAACAAAUAUUUCCUGAAAAGUUAUAUCUCAAUUCUGAUUAGUUUAUUGGAAUGUUGUUCCAGGAUAAACAAGGAUGUUGAUCCAGGAAUGUGUUGUACUUGGUGAAAUCAUGCUUGCCUUAACUUGAUGGUCACCACUGAUAAGCUACUACUAAAUUUAACGUAGAAACUUACAUUUUCUAUAAAGCUGUUUAUCAACGAUUUACAUAAUGAAAAGUGCUAUACAAAUAAACUUUGAAUUGAAUUGAACUUGUCAAGUCAAGUCACCUUUAUUUAUAUAGAGCUUUAAACAAAAUACAUUGCGUCAAAGCAACUGAACAACAUUCAUUUGGAAAACAGUGUGUCAAUAAUGCAAAAUGAUAGUUAAAGGCAGUUCAUCAUUGAAUUCAGUGAUGUCAUCUCUGUUCAGUUAAAUAGUGUCUGUGCAUUUAUUUGCAAUCAAUUAUUAAUAUCGCUGUAGAUGAAGUGACCCCAACUAAGCAAGCCAGAGGCGACAGCGGCAAGGAACCGAAACUCCAUCGGUGACAGAAUGGAGAAAAAAACCUUGGGAGAAACCAGGCUCAGUUGGGGUCAGUUCUCCUCUGACCAGACGAAACCAGUAGUUCAAUUCCAGACUGCAGCAAAGUCAGAUUGUGCAGAAGAAUCAUCUGUUUCCGAACAAUGUUAGGUAGGUUAUUCCAGAGUUUAGGCGUCAAAUAGGAAAAGGAUCUGCCGCCCGCAGUUGAUUUUGAUAUUCUAGGUAUUAUCAAAUUGAGAAAGUUUUGAGAACGUAGCGGACGUAGAGGAGUAUAAUGUAAAAGGAGCUCAUUCAAAUACUGAGGUGCUAAACCAUUCAGGGCUUUAUAAGUAAUAAGCAAUAUUUUAAAAUCUAUACGAUGUUUGAUAGGGAGCCAGUGCAGUGUGGACAGGACCGGGCUAAUAUGGUCAUACUUCCUGGUUCCUGUAAGAACUCUUGCUGCUGCAUUUUGGACUAGCUGUAGUUUGUUUACUAAGCGUGCAGAACAACCACCCGAUAAAGCAUUACAAUAGUCUAACCUUGAAGUCAUAAAUGCAUGGAUUAACAUUUCUGCAUUUGACAUUGAGAGCAUAGGCCGUAAUUUAGAUAUAUUUUUGAGAUGGAAAAAUGCAGUUUUACAAAUGACUUUCUAAGGAAAGAUUGCGAUCAAGUAGCACACCUAGGUUCCUAACUGAUGACGAAGAAUUGACAGAGCAACCAUCAAGUCUUAGAAUUUGAAAUAUACACCUGGUUCAGGGUUCUCUGUGGCUUACCAAUGACCUUGCUCAAUAUGUUAAUGACCCUAGUUAAUGUUUUAAUAUUUGAUAUUCUGAUGAACGGCACAUUUG
This is a long non-coding RNA of Carassius auratus (goldfish), 2351 nucleotides long. NCBI's taxonomy places the organism in Eukaryota, Metazoa, Chordata, Actinopteri, Cypriniformes, Cyprinidae. The record is from Ensembl.